GACGAACGCUGGCGGCGUGCUUAACACAUGCAAGUCGAACGGAAAGGCCCUGCUUUUGUGGGGUGCUCGAGUGGCGAACGGGUGAGUAACACGUGAGUAACCUGCCCUUGACUUUGGGAUAACUUCAGGAAACUGGGGCUAAUACCGGAUAGGAGCUCCUGCUGCAUGGUGGGGGUUGGAAAGUUUCGGCGGUUGGGGAUGGACUCGCGGCUUAUCAGCUUGUUGGUGGGGUAGUGGCUUACCAAGGCUUUGACGGGUAGCCGGCCUGAGAGGGUGACCGGCGUCCAGGCGCCUGCGAGAGGGAGCAGAAGGGUACGGUCCGCAAUAGUGGGGAGCAUUGCGGAACGGGGCGGAGCGUGUGGCAGAGGCGCUGCGUGCGUGAAGACCGGCUACGAGUGGUAAACCGCUGUCGCAGGAACCAAGGCGGGAGUGACGGUAACUAGUCAAAAAGCCACGGCUAACUACGUG
RNAcentral lists this ribosomal RNA (468 nucleotides) under uncultured bacterium. RNAcentral describes it as "partial 16S ribosomal RNA". It matches the Rfam family "Bacterial small subunit ribosomal RNA", at positions 28 to 507 of the family's 1533-position model. The record is from RNAcentral.